CCUACGGGAGGCAGCAGUGAGGAAUAUUGGACAAUGGGCGCAAGCCUGAUCCAGCCAUGCCGCGUGCAGGAAGACGGUCCUAUGGAUUGUAAACUGCUUUUGUACAGGAAGAAACACUCCCUCGUGAGGGAGCUUGACGGUACUGUAAGAAUAAGGAUCGGCUAACUCCGUGCCAGCAGCCGCGGUAAUACGGAGGAUCCAAGCGUUAUCCGGAAUCAUUGGGUUUAAAGGGUCCGUAGGCGGUUUAAUAAGUCAGUGGUGAAAUCUGGUCGCUCAACGAUCAAACGGCCAUUGAUACUGUUAGACUUGAAUUAUUAGGAAGUAACUAGAAUAUGUAGUGUAGCGGUGAAAUGCUUAGAUAUUACAUGGAAUACCAAUUGCGAAGGCAGGUUACUACUAAUGGAUUGACGCUGAUGGACGAAAGCGUGGGGAGCGAACAGGAUUAGAUACCCUGGUAGUCCACGCCGUAAACGAUGGAUACUAGCUGUUGGGCGCAAGUUCAGUGGCUAAGCGAAAGUGAUAAGUAUCCCACCUGGGGAGUACGUUCGCAAGAUGAAACUCAAAGGAUUGACCGGNNGAGAGNGACGAGAGACGACGAGGGAGGAGG
This 607-nucleotide ribosomal RNA is filed under the name uncultured bacterium. RNAcentral's name for it is "bacterial SSU rRNA". It matches the Rfam family "Bacterial small subunit ribosomal RNA", at positions 338 to 947 of the family's 1533-position model. The record is from RNAcentral.